AAAUCCCGACUUCUGGAAGGGACGUAUUUAUUAGAUAAAAGCGCCCGCCUGGCUCUGCGUGAGUCGCGGUGAAUCAUGAUAUCUUCACGAAUCGCACGGCCUCCGCGCCGGCGAUGUUUCAUUCAAAUUUCUGCCUUAUCAACUUUCGAUGGUAGAGAUAGAGGCCUACCAUGGUGGUAACGGGUGACGGAGGAUUAGGGUUCGAUUCCGGAGAGGGAGCCUGAGAAACGGCUUACCUCACAUCCAAGGAAGGCAGCAGGCGCGACUAUUUACCCUAAUCCCGACACGGGGGAGGUAGUGACAAUAAAUAACCAAUUGCGGGCAUUUAAUGUCUGGUAAUUGGAAUGAGAACAAUCUAAAUUCCCUUAACGAAAGCCAUUGGAGGGCAAGUCUGGUGCCAGCAGCCGCGGUAAUUCCAGCUCCAAUAGCGUAUAUUUAAGUUGUUGCAGUUAAAAAGCUCGUAGUUGGAUUUCGGGUAGGUUCCAGCGGUCCGCCUCUGGUGAGUACUGCUGUGGCUUUCCUUUCUGCCGGGGACGGGCUCCUGGCUUUAACUGUCCGGGACUCGGAGUCGGCGAGGUUACUUUGAGUAAAUUAGAGUGUUCAAAGCAGGCGUUCGCUAUGAAUACAUUAGCAUGGAAUAACACGAUAGGACUCUGGCCUAUCUUGUUGGUCUGUAGGACCGGAGUAAUGAUUAAGAGGGACAGUCGGGGGCAUUCGUAUUUCAUUGUCAGAGGUGAAAUUCUUGGAUUUAUGAAAGACGAACUUCUGCGAAAGCAUUUGCCCAAGGAUGUUUUCAUUAAUCAAGAACGAAAGUUGGGGGCUCGAAGACGAUUAGAUACCGUCGUAGUCUCAACCAUAAACGAUGCGGACUAGGGAUUGGGCGGGCGUUCCGUUGAUGACCCCGCCAGCACCCUUAUGAGAAAUCAAAGUCUUUGGGUUCCUGCGGGGGGAGAUAUGUGUCGCAAGGGUGAACCUUAAUGGAAUUGUACGGAAGGGCACCACCAGGCGCUGGAGCCUGCGCGCUUAAUUUGAUCUCAACACGGGAAAACUUACCAGGUCCAGACACGGGAAGGAGUUGACAGAUUGAGAGCUCUUUCUUGAUUCUGUGGGUGGUGGUGCAUGGCCGUUCUUAGUUGGUGGGUUGCCUUGUCUGCGCUUGAUUCCGGUAACGAACGAGACCUCAGCCUGCUAAAUAGUCACGGCUACUUUUUGUAGCCGCCGGACUUCUUAGAGGGACUAUUGUCGUUUAGGCAAUGGAAGUGUGAGGCAAUAACAGGUCUGUGAUGCCCUUAGAUGUUCUGGGCCGCACGCGCGCUACACUGAUGC
RNAcentral lists this ribosomal RNA (1326 nucleotides) under Microglena monadina. RNAcentral describes it as "SSU rRNA". It matches the Rfam family "Eukaryotic small subunit ribosomal RNA", at positions 174 to 1509 of the family's 1831-position model. Lineage: Eukaryota; Viridiplantae; Chlorophyta; Chlorophyceae; Chlamydomonadales; Chlamydomonadaceae. The record is from RNAcentral.